RNAcentral lists this transfer RNA (67 nucleotides) under Lawsonibacter asaccharolyticus. It matches the Rfam family "tRNA". From Rfam's summary of the family: Transfer RNA (tRNA) molecules are approximately 80 nucleotides in length. Lineage: Bacteria; Bacillati; Bacillota; Clostridia; Eubacteriales; Oscillospiraceae. The record is from RNAcentral. RNAcentral also lists the same sequence under 2 other names.
GGUGUAGCUCAGUUGGUUAGAGCAUCGGAUUGUGGUUCCGAGGGUCGAGGGUUCGAGUCCCUUUACC